CAGUCGCCACGGGAAUACGAAGGGUGCAAGCGUUACUCGGAAUUACUGGGCGUAAAGCGUGCGUAGGUGGUGGUUUAAGUCCGUUGUGAAAGCCCUGGGCUCAACCUGGGAAUUGCAGUGGUUACUGGGUCACUAGAGUGUGGUAGAGGAUAGUGGAAUUUCCGGUGUAGCAGUGAAAUGCGUAGAGAUCGGAAGGAACAUCUGUGGCGAAGGCGACUAUCUGGGCCAACACUGACACUGAGGCACGAAAGCGUGGGGAGCAAACAGGAUUAGAUACCCCCGUAGUCCCUGUCUCUUAUAC
Molecule: ribosomal RNA, 301 nt
Filed under: uncultured bacterium
Lineage: Bacteria
Description: partial 16S ribosomal RNA
Rfam family: Bacterial small subunit ribosomal RNA
Source: RNAcentral